AAGUCGUAACAAGGUUUCCGUAGGUGAACCUGCGGAAGGAUCAUUACAUUCAGUAGCCUAGCUACUUGUUUAUACCCUUGUUUUUUGCGUACCUAUUGUUUCCUCGGCGGGGCUUGCUCGCCGUUUGGACAAAAUCUAUAACCUUUUUGAAUCUUCAAUCAGCGUCUGAAUUAUACAUAAUAAUUACAACUUUCAACAACGGAUCUCUUGGUUCUG
This 216-nucleotide unclassified non-coding RNA is filed under the name air metagenome. RNAcentral describes it as "partial contains small subunit ribosomal RNA, internal transcribed spacer 1, and 5.8S ribosomal RNA". The stretch from base 1 to 46 matches the Rfam family "Eukaryotic small subunit ribosomal RNA", at positions 1786 to 1831 of the family's 1831-position model. The record is from RNAcentral.